Molecule: ribosomal RNA, 408 nt
Filed under: Triticum aestivum (bread wheat)
Lineage: Eukaryota; Viridiplantae; Streptophyta; Magnoliopsida; Poales; Poaceae
Description: partial small subunit ribosomal RNA
Source: RNAcentral
AUGCAAAAUCCAAGAAGUCUGACUAGGUUCUUGUGCUGCAGCUUGGCAAUCAGAACUACUUCAUUUUUGAACUCCUCUAUACCUUGUUUAGAACCCUUACUGAGCCUCUUAACAGCAACUUCAUUUCCACCUUUCAGUGUGCCCUACAUAAGCAGAUAUUUCUCAGUUGAGCAGCAAUGCCUUGACUCAUAUAGUUGCCUUUUCACACGAAGUGCACUUUGUCACCCUUUUAACUUUGAGCCGAGGAGAUAUUAUUUCAACUUUGUAAAUUUGAACAUCAAAACUAGUGGAAAUCACCAACUCAUCCCAAACAAUGUCGAUUUAGACAAUAUGGCAUCAAGACAGACAUGUUUCACUAAUUUGGUACCCACUUCAAGUUAUUUGGUCAGCAAUAAUAAUAAUAAAUAG